AGGAUCAUUAGCGAUUGCGAAUUGUUGCCUUCUGUGCUGGCCAGCUCUGGCAAGUGCACGUCGGUAACUUUCAUCCAAUCUCCUGUGCACCUUUGGCCUUUGCUUGCUUCGGCGGGCAGAGGAAUUACACACACGCGAAUGUAAUGAAAUUUAUUGUCGUGCGCAAGCACUAAUGUACAACUUUCAACAACGGAUCUCUUGGCUCUCGCAUCGAUGAAGAACGCAGCGAAAUGCGAUAAGUAAUGUGAAUUGCAGAAUUCAGUGAAUCAUCGAAUCUUUGAACGCACCUUGCACCCUUUGGUAUUCCGAAGGGUAUGCUCGUUUGAGUGUCAUUGUACUCUCACACUCCCGAUCUUUGGAUUGGGUGCGGUGGACUUGGGUGUUGCUGCUUCACCGUGGCUCACCUCAAAUGAAGUAGUGCACCUCUUGGUUGGACAUAGUACGGCGUGAUAAGUGUCUUCGCCGGCGCCUCACUUCGAGGGUGGCCGAUCGGGAGCUCUGUGCUUCAAACCGUCUUCGGACAACAACUGACAACUUGACCUCAAAUCGAGUAGGACUACCCGCUGAACUUAAGCAUAUCAAUAAGCAGAGGAAAAGAAACUAACAAGGAUUCCCCUAGUAACGGCGAGUGAAGAGGGAAGAGCUCAAAUUUUGAAUCUGGCGUCUUUGGCGUCCGAAUUGUAAUCUAGAGAAGUGUUUUCCGUGACGGACCGUGCAUAAGUCUCCUGGAAUGGAGUGUCAUAGAGGGUGAGAAUCCCGUAUAUGGCACGGACUCCCGUUGCUCUGUGAUACACUCUCGACGAGUCGAGUUGUUUGGGAAUGCAGCUCUAAAUGGGUGGUAAAUGCCAUCUAAAGCUAAAUAUUGGCGAGAGACCGAUAGCGAACAAGUACCGUGAGGGAAAGAUGAAAAGCACUUUGGAAAGAGAGUGAAACAGUACGUGAAAUUGUUGAAAGGGAAACGCUUGAAGUCAGUCGCGCCGUUCGGGAUUCAGCCUUGCUUCUGCUCGGUUUACUUCCCGUUGGGUGGGUCAACAUCAGUUUCGAUCGGAGGAGAAAGGCUUGGGGAAGGUGGCAGCAUUCGUGCUGUGUUAUAGCCCCUGGUUGUAUACUUCGACUGGGACUGAGGAUCGCAGCACGCCUUUGGCCGGGGUCGCCC
RNAcentral lists this ribosomal RNA (1156 nucleotides) under uncultured Sebacinales. RNAcentral describes it as "eukaryotic LSU rRNA". The stretch from base 537 to 1156 matches the Rfam family "Eukaryotic large subunit ribosomal RNA", at positions 1 to 631 of the family's 3401-position model. The record is from RNAcentral. Lineage: Eukaryota; Fungi; Basidiomycota; Agaricomycetes; Sebacinales.